RNAcentral lists this ribosomal RNA (1026 nucleotides) under Escherichia coli. RNAcentral's name for it is "partial 23S ribosomal RNA". It matches the Rfam family "Bacterial large subunit ribosomal RNA", at positions 1917 to 2925 of the family's 2925-position model. Lineage: Bacteria; Pseudomonadati; Pseudomonadota; Gammaproteobacteria; Enterobacterales; Enterobacteriaceae. The record is from RNAcentral.
GCCCCGGUAAACGGCGGCCGUAACUAUAACGGUCCUAAGGUAGCGAAAUUCCUUGUCGGGUAAGUUCCGACCUGCACGAAUGGCGUAAUGAUGGCCAGGCUGUCUCCACCCGAGACUCAGUGAAAUUGAACUCGCUGUGAAGAUGCAGUGUACCCGCGGCAAGACGGAAAGACCCCGUGAACCUUUACUAUAGCUUGACACUGAACAUUGAGCCUUGAUGUGUAGGAUAGGUGGGAGGCUUUGAAGUGUGGACGCCAGUCUGCAUGGAGCCGACCUUGAAAUACCACCCUUUAAUGUUUGAUGUUCUAACGUGGGCCCCUUACCGGGGUUGCGGACAGUGUCUGGUGGGUAGUUUGACUGGGGCGGUCUCCUCCUAAAGAGUAACGGAGGAGCACGAAGGUUGGCUAAUCCUGGUCGGACAUCAGGAGGUUAGUGCAAUGGCAUAAGCCAGCUUGACUGCGAGCGUGACGGCGCGAGCAGGUGCGAAAGCAGGUCAUAGUGAUCCGGUGGUUCUGAAUGGAAGGGCCAUCGCUCAACGGAUAAAAGGUACUCCGGGGAUAACAGGCUGAUACCGCCCAAGAGUUCAUAUCGACGGCGGUGUUUGGCACCUCGAUGUCGGCUCAUCACAUCCUGGGGCUGAAGUAGGUCCCAAGGGUAUGGCUGUUCGCCAUUUAAAGUGGUACGCGAGCUGGGUUUAGAACGUCGUGAGACAGUUCGGUCCCUAUCUGCCGUGGGCGCUGGAGAACUGAGGGGGGCUGCUCCUAGUACGAGAGGACCGGAGUGGACGCAUCACUGGUGUUCGGGUUGUCAUGCCAAUGGCACUGCCCGGUAGCUAAAUGCGGAAGAGAUAAGUGCUGAAAGCAUCUAAGCACGAAACUUGCCCCGAGAUGAGUUCUCCCUGAGACUUAGAGUCUCCUGAAGGAACGUUGAAGACGACGACGUUGAUAGGCCGGGUGUGUAAGCGCAGCGAUGCGUUGAGCUAACCGGUACUAAUGAACCGUGAGGCUUAACCUUACAACGCCGAAG